RNAcentral lists this ribosomal RNA (507 nucleotides) under uncultured bacterium. RNAcentral's name for it is "partial 16S ribosomal RNA". It matches the Rfam family "Bacterial small subunit ribosomal RNA", at positions 28 to 507 of the family's 1533-position model. The record is from RNAcentral.
GACGAACGCUGGCGGCGUGCCUAAUACAUGCAAGUCGAACGCAUUUUCUUUCACCGUAGCUUGCUACACCGAAAGAAAAUGAGUGGCGAACGGGUGAGUAACACGUGGGUAACCUGCCCAUCAGCGGGGGAUAACACUUGGAAACAGGUGCUAAUACCGCAUAAUUCCAUUUACUGCAUGGUAGAUGGAUGAAAGGCGCUUUUGCGUCACUGAUGGAUGGACCCGCGGUGCAUUAGCUAGUUGGUGGGGUAACGGCCUACCAAGGCUGCGAUGCAUAGCCGACCUGAGAGGGUGAUCGGCCACACUGGGACUGAGACACGGCCCAGACUCCUACGGGAGGGAGCAGUAGGGAAUCUUCGGCAAUGGACGCAAGUCUGACCGAGCAACGCCGCGUGAGUGAAGAAGGUUUUCGGAUCGUAAAACUCUGUUGUUAGAAAAGAACAAGGAUGAGAGUGGAAAGUUCAUCCCUUGACGGUAUCUAACCAGAAAGCCACGGCUAACUACGUG